This 323-nucleotide ribosomal RNA is filed under the name uncultured bacterium. RNAcentral describes it as "partial 16S ribosomal RNA". The record is from RNAcentral.
UUUCAAACGGGCUACAGAUCAUUGCCAUGGUAAGCGGUUACCCUACCAACUAAAUAAUCUGCCGCAGGCUCCUUUUCAGACGCGAGGUCCCCGAUCCCCCGAUUUAACAACUGUCACCAUUAGGUGCCGCUGCAUUAUGCGGUAUUAGCAACCGUUUCCGGUUGUUAUUCCCCAUCCAAAGGUAGAUUACCUACGUGUUACUAACCCCUCGGCCACGCAGCCGUCGAAGGUAGGGUUCAUGAUUGUUGUGAAGUCGUAAUAAGGUAGCCGUAGCGGAAGCUGCGGCUGGAUCACCUCCUAAUCUAGAUGCAUCGCGAGUUACA